Molecule: long non-coding RNA, 2011 nt
Filed under: Bos grunniens (domestic yak)
Lineage: Eukaryota; Metazoa; Chordata; Mammalia; Artiodactyla; Bovidae
Description: lncRNA (ENSBGRG00000006067.1)
Source: RNAcentral
GGCUCAGAGUUCGGUGAGUUCUUGGUGCACAGAGCUCCAAGAACCACUCCAGCACGCUGCCUGCCACGGAGCAGGGUUUCAGCAAGUAUUUGCUGGAUGAGUGAGAGGCUAAGUGGAUGAAUAAAGAUCUAAGUCAGAGUCAAGCUAGGAAUAGUCUGCACCUCAAGGCUCUACCAGCACUAGGAAAGGGUCUACCUAGAGACUGCAGAAGAGAUGAGCCUACAUGAAGAUAUUCAAGGAGACCCAGGGAAGGUGUCUAAGAGGCUGUGAAAGCAUGAAGUCACACGGGCCAUGGCUGUCAGCAGAGGAGAAUCGGAAUCUAUGUCUUCUCUGCUUGAAUUUUGGCUGGGCCUGUGGCUGCUUUGAGGAAAUGACCUGUGCCAGAACAGGCACCUUCUGCCUCUUUCCUCUUGGAAUACUUUUCCUGGGGUGCUCCUUGGAAUCCAGCCAUGAUGCAUUGGAAAGCCCAGCUGCAGAGCUAGGCCACACGUAGUCCCUCCAGUUGCAGUCUCUGCUCCACUCUCUGCUGCUGCCAUGUGAGCAAGCCACCUUGGAUGUCUGGGCCUCCUGAGGACUGCAUCCCUGGCCGACAUCAUGUGGAACAGAAGAACCACUAUGCUGAACCCAGGCAACCAACACAGUCAUGAGAUAAUAAGAAUUAUUUGUCAUCACUAAGUGUUGGGUGAUUUGUUAUAAGCGAUGGAAAACUGAAACAGUUUGUUUGUAUGCUCUGCCAGACUGUAAACUUCUGGAGGACAGGCGCCAGUGUCUUGGUCAUAUUUAUGUGCCCAGCAUCUAGUGCAGUGGUCUAGCUCAGUGGUUAAGAACUCAGAAUCUGUUUUCAAAGGGCCUGGAGUUGAUCUCUACUCCACACCAGUUGUGUGGCCAUAUCAGUCAGGGUUCAGUUAGGGCAGAAGAGCUACUAAGAGUAUUAUAAGCCUAAGAGACUUAUUCCAGGAAUUGGACCUUAAGAAAAUAUGGCAAGAGCUGGGAGGAUGGAGGUCUAGAAGGGGAGUCAGAGGUUCAGAGUGUCUACUCUGUCUAUCUGAAGUGGACAAGUCAGAGCUUUCUGGGAAAUGAUGAUACCAACAUGCCCAGCCCCUAGAGUAGAUGGAUGCACAGUAAGGUCCAGUGAAAACUGCCCCCUGCCUAUGCCUACCUACUGCCUCUGCGGGCUUACUAUCAAUCUUCCAGUUGGGAGUGGGGGCCUCUAUUGUUCUGGAGGAUCAGCAGUCAGAGUGACAAGCUAGAUAUGAAACAGAAGAGAAUGAGGACAAGCUGUGACCUGCUAGAUGCCUUUGCAUCCAUCCAACACCAUAUGCAACCAAGGUAACCUUCAGAGAAUAAUGGCCACUGCUCCACUUUCACCUUCCAAAUCUCCUAUAACCCAUUGCCGGAUGGGGAAGGGAAUCUGGGAAGUGUAGCUCUCAUCUAAACUGGACUGACAGCACCAUGCAGCUUUUGGCCUGUAGCAAAUUACUUUUCUCUGAGCCUUGGUUCCUCAUCAGUAAAGUAAAGAUAGUCAUACUUACCAAACUCAGAUUACUGGAAAUAUUCAGUGAGAAAUACAUGCAUAGUUGUCAUAUUCUAAAUUCUCAAUGCGUGCUAGCUGUGUUCUUUGUAUUAGAAGAAGCCCAUUCAUGUUUGUUGGAUGAAUGAAUUGAAACUCUUUGGCAAGGCAUUAAAGGGGGCAGGAAAUAAGUCAUGCCUUAGAAGUUCAGGGCCAAGCUGGAAGACUGUGGACCUCUUGUGGGACACUUGAGGCCAGAAUAAAUCUAGAAAAUGUCUGUUAGACAUCAUCUGCGCCAACUGGCAUUAAGAAUCAAGAAACCAGUACUGUGAGUUCAGUCCCAUUUCAUAUCAAUCCAUCAAUUCAGCUCUUCCAAGCCCAUAUAAAGGCUUCCCUGGAGACCAGGAUAUCCAAGUAUCGAAAUCCUGAGUCCUAGCUCAACUCUGCCACUAUUUACUCUAUAAACUUAUAAACUUAGGUAAACCUUCAUCUGCUGUUGGG